GGACGUUCGAGGGUACGAACGAGGGUGACACCCUGCAGUCUGACGCGGGACUUCGACCCCCGUGCUUCGACGGGGAUUAAGUGGCGACUCUCUCAAUCUCUCGGACCCGCAAUCUCGCCGGAGAGCAGCCGCUCGUCGGAUUCGCGAUCGCGGAAUACGGUGCGCGAGUUCGCGUCGCGAACUAUGGAAAUUCGGGAGAAGAUUCGUGGCGAAUGCAAACACCUUGAUUAUCCCUCGCACAUUUUCGUUGGAUUAAUUACGAUCGAUAUCGAUUAGGAUGCACUUGAUAAAGAACGUUUCGAAAAGGAAGACGACGAACCUUUGUGACCAAUUUUAUUUCCGCAGCAAGCUAGAAAAAACUCACGUGUAAUGCGAUUUUUCGCGUGGGAAAAAAUAGUUUACGAAUUGGCUCCGGCAGUUGAAAUACGGUUUCAUUUCCUUUUUCUCACUUUAUGAUCCUCCCGAGUUAUCGAAUAUUCACGAGAGAGAAAGAGAGAGAUAGAGAUAAAGCUAAAUAAAGAAAAUAAAAGCAAGGCAACGCUCGAAAAGUCACCGCAUUUCUUUCCAUUCGAUUACGAGAUGUACGAAAUUUCAUUUGCGGAGGAGGGCAUUGGAGCGGAAAGACCUGCUGUUCGCCUGUCGAUCGCAUACAUCGGGAUUGUCAAAAUAUAAAUUGGAGUACGUUGAUCUCGGAAAGUGGUCAUCGCCUCUGUCGCGAGUGUUUCGUUAAUUAACAUGGGAACCGAUGCAAGGGGAGGCAAGAGACCGAUACAGGAAUGUCGCGGAAGGAGGAGUCGGCGGGGGGAAAAGGCAGAGUCAGUCACGGUAUAGGAAUACAAGCGGAAGAAAAAAUGGAGCUUGGAAUUCGACAAAAAACCAGAACGAGCCACCGAGACGAGUCGAGAUCUGCGAAAUAUCCCGAGUUGCAGUAGAGAUUCGAGAAGGCGAGUCUAAUCGUCCUAAGCACUCGUACGUUUUAAUCAGAUUGUUCGAAAAGAUUUGAAAAGCUUUUUCUAUCUGCAAUGACCGACAUUUUCCUAUUUACAACGACCGAUUCAAUUAGAAAUAUGUAGAAAUCAAUUGUGCGUUGCACAUUUUUUGCCAACCAAAGUUUCAAUCAUUUUUUUUUGACAUUGGCAUCAGGAUUUUUUUCUUUCUUGUUUUUUUUUUGUUGCUUAAUUUAAUUCGCCGGCAGUUUUGCUUUUAAUGCUCGCAGCGGUAAAUUAAAAAGUCGAAAACGCUUUGACAACCCAAACUAACAAAAGAGGAUUAACCACGAUGGCGAAUACGAUGGCAAGCAACGGCGAUGACGGUGGUAGCGUCGGCAACUUUUUUUCGAUAUAAAUAUGUAUGCCAACACAACUUUGCUAGCACAAACCACACCGUAAUCCGUGGCGCCGCUAAUGAAGAAAGAUCGAUGACAGAAACGAAGGGAAAAAAAAGACAGCGCCGGCACAAAGGGUGAUUCGUUUCAUUUUCAUGGGGGAGACGAACGUUUCGUAACUCGCUAGCAAUUUGCAGGCGUUUUGUCGUCGUGACGACGACGACGACGGAAGCGAUCUGUGCCACUCCCGUCGCCGCGCCGCGCUGCGCUGCCGUCGCACCACCGGGAUAUCUCGCGAUCUCCCGAUGGGAUAAAACAGCGUGAGUAGGGUGAAAAGGGGCCAGGAUGAGAAUUAGGGGGCGCGUCGGCCGACCAGCUGGAGGUAGGAAAAAUCGAAGAAACGAAGGGUCAAAUGCCACGUGAUGGAUAGCCCGCCAUAGGAGGUCCAAGCGUAUGAAAUUGAUCAGCCAGCCAGAAUCAUUCGAUUCUACUUCCUACUCGUCCUUUUCCUUUCCCCUAAUGUUGUCCAAUCCUCCUCCUUCUCUCUCUCUCUCUCUCUCUCUCUCUCUCUCUCUCUCUCUCUCUCUCUCUCUCUCUCUCUCUCUCUCUCUCUCUCUCUCUCGCCCGCUCUCGUUCGCGCUUGUCGAAACUCUCGCUCCUCCACCCUUUGUUUCUUUCGUACCAUUCAUUUUCCUUCCGCGUCGUACGACGUCGAUAACUCUGAUUCUCUCGGAUCCCGGACCACCUUCGCCUUGGCGGUGUUUUAUUUUCACGGUCCCGACCAAUGGCCGCAGUCCACGGCCGAUUGCCGAUGGCAAUGCUCUCGAGGAAAUUCAUGUAGCAUGUAAGAAAAAUUACGAUUCCUCCGCUUUUGCGCCGAACAGCCGGCUGCUUAACGAGGAAGAGAGACGUCGGCAAAUAUCGCGGCUUCUACAUGGUUUCCUUCGGAAAAGGAAAAAAAAAUGAAACACAAACUCGUUCUUUAUGCAAUCUCGUCUGAAUCCACGGUCCGAUGGUGGGUGCCGCGCACGCGAGAAUAAAUCUUACGUUUUAAUUCGAGAACACUCCCGAAGUCGAUUUAAAUCACGAAUAAAAUUCAUACGAAAUUUUCCAAGUAAUUUCCCAGCACGGUCCAAAAGCCAGUCUCAAAUACAGACUCGAUUUAUAAGUGCGAAUAAACUUUCUCGAGAUUAUAACGCCGUCUGCCGAUAAUAAUCUAGCGGUACUCUGAGUGAAAUCAAUUUCACGUUUCGAAGCGUCCGCGAGCUUCUGUUCCAAGUUGUGGCAAAUGCUCGAACGAUCGCGGAAAUGGGGACACCCUGUACACAACGAGGCGAUAACAGUUCGCGAGAGUUAUAGAGGGAGCGAAGUUAGUAAGCUCCGACCAGGGAACACAGAGGUUGAUAUAUAAGAUAGAGUUAAAUAGACAAGAGGGAGGGUAAGGGAAAAGAGAAUGCAAUGACGAGUGAAACGAGAAGAGAGAGGUCUGUUUGAAAGCGCGGAUGUAACGAGAAGACGAAGGAAGACGUAGCGAGAUCGCGGGUCGUCUGAUAGCGAUAAAUACCUAUCAAUUCCAGACACAGAAUUGCGACAAAGUUGCCUUUCUUCGUCGCCUUCUCGCUAAUAAAGCAGGAUCGAUACGACGAUUGGAGAAGAUACGCUCUCUUAAAUAUUCUGUCGUAUUUUGUAGCGAGCUUACAUAGGAGGCGUUCGCAACUUGUGCGUAAAGUACGAUACAUUCGGUAAGCAAUAGAUGGGAUUCGUGAGCUACUUCUGACUUAUUGUUAGCUACAGAAUCAGUAAGAACAAGUAGCGCGUCGUAAAGCUGCGUUAGGCCCGGAUACAAAGGAGGACAACAAAUAAAAGUGCUUUAUGUGUAACGCAAGGUGCGUACCCCCUUCCUCCCCCCCUCCUCCUUCCCCCGUUCAACUACUCGCUCGAGAUAUACUCCUCAGAAGAAGGAAAAAAGAGACAGGAAGCUUCGAAAGUUUGGCCAAGAAAGUUUGCAAAAGCACACUGCUGCCACCAAACGACCUUCGUCCUGCACACAGCUUCGAAUUUCAUUUUGGAACGUUGAAUCUUAUUAAGAAGUAAAGUCGUUUCGGAGAAAGUUGGCGAAUAUUGUGGACGGGGUUUCCUUAUAAAUCCGUGGCUCAGCGCGAUAUUUCUCGUUGGCCCCGAAAGCCUGCCUCGAAAACUCCAAUUUCGGAUGGAAGUGAUUACAAGGAUAUUGUCACCCGGAAAACUCUUACUGAGAGAAGUACUUACGUUAUUCCCUUGCUUAACUUAACGCUUUACGAUUCGUAAUAAGUGUCCGCUUGUUCUCGACGACGCGGCGAUUAAUAAUGAUCAAACCGGGAGCAAACUUUAUUGCCGCCUUCUGUUCAUCAUGCUUUGACCCCUUGACGAGACUUUUUUCAUUACUUUCUGUACUUUCAUUAAGUGCAAUGUUCACCAAAGAGUAUACUGCGAGGAGCAUCGCGCGCAUAAAAAUCGUUUAUCGAGUAAACUUUUCAAUGACUCGUGAAAUACUUUAUUGACGAUUGCCGAUACUUUGGACGCGAUGUACGCUACUAAACUUUCAUCAGUUUUUCCACUAUCCCAGCGAUUAUUAGCAAACUUGGUGAACUCAAACAAAUCUCUAUACAAUACGCGCUUAUUGUGAACAAAUCCAAAGUAUUUCAACAUAAACGAAUGCGUAAAAUGUCAUUUUAAACUAGUCGAUUUAAACUAAACGAAAUUGAGAAAAGGAAUAGAAUACAAAAGAAAUUUGAAGAAUUCUGAAAAAGGUCUAAAUUCUAAAGCAAACCAAAAUUUCAUAAAAGAUAUAUACAUACUCAUCUGAUAUAUACAUGCUCUCUUUUAUCUAAGAUUUAAUUACACUGUUUUUUAUAUGCGUCAAAUGGGAAUUUGAAAUUUUAUCAUUCUUAGUGUAAAUGAGGAUAUAGAUAUCCUCAUUUUUCAAGUCUAAUAAUCUUUAAAAAAAAUUCAAAAUAAGAUUAUAGAAAUGUUUUUAUAAUAGGGAUCUAUUGAAUUUUUCUUUGUCCGAUCGCACAAUAACUAUGACAUAUAUUCGAUUAAGUACUCUAUUUACGAUAAAAGAGGUUUUCUCUAAAUUUACUUUUAUACUCUACGCCAGGUCCAAGAAGAUUUCAAAUCGCCGGAAAAUAAUCCGUAAGUUACCAAAUUUGAUAAAGAGCACAUGAAAAAUAUUUUCAAGCUAAAAUCACUUGAGCUUAACGAGAUAAAAGCAAGUAAUUGAUUGCGUUUGAUCAUAAUGAGUGCUGCGACGAGUGAUCUCCGUCCCACUGUGAGAAACCUAAGGGUAAAACAAAGACUGUUCUUUUGUAUUUUUAACCAACUCCUAACAAAAGCUAGGAGUAGUUGUUAUUGGCUCUCCAGGACACACCGAGUUUCUUAACCAAGAGCCCGUUCUCUCUCUUUUCAUCUUUAUCAUCCUUUCUUUCUAUCCUCUCCAUUCCCCCUAUCGUAUCCCUAUCGAGCUCUAUCUUCCACUUUCGCUCUCUCGAUGAUGGAGAUUGAACGUAAUUUAUUUGCUAUUUUCUCAUCCCUUCGUUCUGCGUGGCAGGAAUUUAAUUUUCUGAGCGCUAUCUGCGCCCGUACGAUGAAUCUUUGUAUAAUACAAAACUCGCAAAUUUGCUCUACGACAUAGAGAAACUAUGACGUAAGAACUGCAUGUGUAUAAUAAUGUAUACAAAAUGGAAGUUGAUAAGUAAAAAGCAAUGAAAUAAAAAUAACGGUGUAUCCUACACGAAAUAAUGUAUAACACAAGUAAAAUAUCUCUAACAAUAUAAACAUCCAUUUAGUCUGUCAAGAUGUAUGUAUAUGUGCAAAAUUGUUAUUAAAUAUUAAACAACCUUUUUUUUGUAUAUAGAAGAUAUACACAUGCAUAAUUUAAAAAAAUAAAAAAAUUACUUACUGAAAGAUCAAAUGAAAUAUUUGAAUAUACAUUUGAUCGCUUCCGACUAAAUCGCAGUUAUAGUUAUCGAUUUAAUCACAUAAUUCACGAGAGAGAAUAAAACAAUAGAGCAAACAAAAUCUAAAGGCAUAAUGCACGCUAAUAAAAUUGCGUUUUGAUGAUUAAAGGAUAAGAAAAAUACUUUCCUUAAAUACGCUGCAGAUAGAGGAAUAGGUAGAGGAUGCGUCUAGCGUUUAUGGGGAUUGCCUAUAGCAGUAAAGCGUACGAUUUGAUAGGAACCAAUACAUUUGAGCUUAUCACCUUAUCGCCAAUGGCUAUACCGCGCUAGUAACACUCAAAGCGCGCGGG
Molecule: long non-coding RNA, 5612 nt
Organism: Solenopsis invicta (red fire ant)
Lineage: Eukaryota; Metazoa; Arthropoda; Insecta; Hymenoptera; Formicidae
Exons: 3
Source: RefSeq, a predicted model, not a curated record